UCGCCAAACAGAGGAAGGGCGCUGGCUGCAGCCUGGCAUUACCCCUGUUAUCGCAGCCGUGACGAGCAUACGUGAUCAGGAAAGCGUGCCGUCUGUGCGGGCCUGUGCAGCACCUGCCCUGAAAAGUGCGAGCCGAAGCGGCUCUUCAGUCACGCCCAUCUCCCUCGCUCUCCAGAAGCGGUGUCUUGCCCUCUCAUCCCCAUGCGCACCUCUGCCGCAGCUGCGGUGGCGGCGGCGCACGCCGGCAUGCGCGCGCUUCACACAGCCUUUGGUGUCACGGGCAACAGCUGUGGUACAUCCCCGCACGCCACCGUCGCGUCGGCGCGUCUCGCCGUCGCACCGCCACCCCACUCGGGCCUCACCUUGCCUUUCUUCACGCGCUGUGGUGCGUCGUCUGCUGUUUUUACCACCCGCGCUCACAGCGUUGGUUGCUGCCGGUAUGCAGCGGCGGUCGAGCAGCACCGACUCUGCAGCAGUCACGGCUGCCACAGCAACAGCAGCGGCAGCUCCGCCGAUAGCAGUCGUCCGUACGUGCCUGGGCAGGCGGUGCAGGAGACGUACCCGAUUAUCCAGCUCCCGGCGCGCUCACUGUGGUGCCGGCAAUACGCGCUGGACGCUCGUCGGGUGGCCCAGGGCGAGUACGCCGGGCUCGUCUCCCAGGUGAGGGAGGCGCGGCACUACUACCAGUACCCGUCGAUGAGCGCGCCGCAGACGGGGUGGAACGUGCAGAUGUUCACCCUCUUCGACAACUCCGUCUUCAUCAACCCCGUCAACCUCGACGAGGAGGCCUGGCGAGCCGAGGCCGCGCAGCAGGGCAUGUCGUGGGUUGCCUUUGAAGAGGAGAAGAUGCGCGAGCUGCGCACAGAGGGGCUGACCGGGUUCGCCUGGGAGCCGUGCGCGAGCAGCGGGUUUCUGCUGCAUUACAUUGAGCGCCCGCUGACGGUGCGGGUGCGGGCGUUGGACGAGCACGGGAAGCCGUUCACCGUGACACUGGACAAGAUGCGUGCGCGCAUGGCGCUACAUGAGCUGGAUCAUCUGCAAGGCGUCCUUUUCACGCGGCGCGUGGUGGACACGGACCACGUCGUUCCGAUGGAGGGCUUCGUGACCAUGAGCGACUGGAGCGACGACUACCCCUCACUGGAGGCGCGCAGCACGUUUCUCUACACCAUCUUCACCCCGCCGUAUCACUUUGUGUCCGACGCCGUGCCGGACGGCAACCUGCUGGACCGCAAGUUUGAGGACGGCAUCUACCCCGGCUGUGAGCAGGAUCGCCAGCAGCGCAUCGAACUGGCAGCGAUGGAGGAGAUUCAGCGCAAUGCCUGGCGAAAGGAGAAGGCUAAGCGGAAAGAGGGCGGCCAGCAGUGCGGCCGUGGAGAUGUGGGGACGGUGGAGGACGACGACGGCAGUGGCACCCAUGGCGCCAGCUGAGUCGGGCACGCAUAUCCAACGCGGAGUCGCAGGGAUGAGGGUGGUAGUGCCGUUUGGGGAGAGGAGGCAAAGAAACGGCCACAUAAGGCGCGUCUUGUGCGGGUAUGCUGUGUACGAUGGGCGCGGGGGGGCUGUUGGAAGUCGGGGUCGCAUCAACCUCCACAGGUGCUCGCUCCCGUCCGUUCCUUCUACUGAUCUCCUCAUCCUCCUCCUCCGCCCCUCGUCGCCGGUGCUGCGGCGGUGGAGUCGAGAAGAUGAGCCUACAGCAAUCAC
Molecule: unclassified non-coding RNA, 1701 nt
Filed under: Leishmania donovani
Lineage: Eukaryota; Euglenozoa; Kinetoplastea; Trypanosomatida; Trypanosomatidae
Description: gene:LdHU3.04.1040(CDS-product:Pescadillo_N-termi nus/BRCA1_C_Terminus_(BRCT)_domain_containing_protein_putat ive)
Source: RNAcentral